This 1455-nucleotide long non-coding RNA is filed under the name Citrus maxima (pomelo). Its description in RNAcentral is "long non-coding RNA (CMAX_LNC003484)". Lineage: Eukaryota; Viridiplantae; Streptophyta; Magnoliopsida; Sapindales; Rutaceae. The record is from RNAcentral.
UCUUCGUAACACAGUCUCACCACAAAACCAUCUCCUAAGAUGACAUAGGAUAAAUUAUCUACUGCCUUAAACGGUGUCAUAUAAAAUUGUAUGAAAUGUCAUAUAUAUAAUAACUUUACAAACGACGUACCAUAUAAAUUUUACUCAGGGUAAAAAUCAUAGGAUAUGGCAAAUAUAACUUGCAAAUCACACAAAUCCUAUAUAACUAACGGUAUGACAUAUCAUCUAUGUAAUGAAGUUACAACCAACCUGUCGCACCCCAAAAGGCAAGGAUUGAUUUUUCUUUCUCCUAACUUAAUAUAAAUUGAUCUACAUAAAGUUAUUCUAUGUCAACGUGUUAUCAUGUGUCAUAUUUUUUAUUGACCUAAAAAUUUAUUUGAAAUUUUCUUAGACUAAUUAAUUAAUUUGCAGAAGUUUAGAAUUGGAACUUCAAAUCCCUUGAUGGCAAAAAUAAAAUAAACAUCCUUUACAAAGUGGUUGAUGAAACAUAUGCUCAAGCUAGCCUCUAGGUAAAUAAUUAAUUUACGGAAGUUCAAUUAAUUUAGAAUUGGAACUGCAAUUAUUCCCACAAAUGAAGAACUUGGAACUAAUAUUUAAUUAUUAUUUUUUAAUUAAUGAACUAAUUGUGUCUGCUAGUGGGUGGUGAGUUUGAUGAUUGAUCUCCAAACACUUGCGUUAACAAAUUAACAAGAGAGACAGCUGGUGUAAUAUGACACGUACAUCUCUUUUUUCACCAAUUGAGGUAAAUUGAAAGUUGGCUUCUUUUUCAAAAGGCAAAGCUUUAAAGAAGAAAAAGGAAACACGGCACGACAGGAGAGAAAUAUCGGACGAAAGGGUAUCAGCGGAGUAGACGAAAUGGAAACAGAGUUUAGAAGCAGAACUGCAGAACCAUUACCCAAAGCUGUCGCAACUGCACUUCUACAGUUCGACUUAUGGGAACUCAAAAUGCUGGUUGUUGAUUGUAUUAACUCUUGCUUUUAAAAAGAAGAAAACCCCAUGCAGGCUUACAAAACUUGAAACAAAACUUUAGAUGCUCCUAUAGCUUAGAUAACUAAGGGAAUCAAUGGAUUCUUGCAGUAGAUGUCAGGCCAUUUCGCCAAGUUCUUCGCCAGAGACUCCUCCAAGAUUCCACGCACUCUUCCUCCCGUCUACAGAGAAGAUGUUAGGAAAUUGGUGGGUGAAGUAGGGCCACAACUAAAAUGAAAUUGAAAGAAAAUAAAGAACAAGUAUAAAAGAGGAUAACAGAAAAUUACGUGGUUCAACUUUUAGCCUACGUCCACGGGCGAAGACAGAAGAAAAAUAUUUUACUAGUGAUGUGGAGUAUACAAGUAUUGAAAUAUUUUGUCUCACAACCCAAUAUCCCAAUACACCCAAUUCUUUCACUCACUAAUUACUCACAAGAACUUUAUAAUUUUGAGUUCUUAAAAAAAAUCACUCAAGCUCUCUCAUUUCUUU